GGGAAAAUGGAGGGCGUGGAAACGAAACAUCACGAUAGUAUCUUUUGACAUGACGCUUCAAGACUCCGAUGUCAGGAGGCUGGUGAUGUCACAGAUUUUAACCUGGCUUGAACAUGCCAAGUGUACUGGCAUCUCAGCUGUUCUUCUCCAUCAUUUGACGGAUGAGCAUGAGUGGCCUCCCCCGAUUCAAUAUUAUGAGUAAAGUCAUGGGCCAUUGAGCCAAGAGGAGAGGAAUUCACCAUGGCUUAACAAUAAAAAAACACUUUAGUACCCUUAAAGCCCUCAGAGUGAUUGUCCUUGACAACCACCUUCCAUCAAAGAUGCAUACUAUCUAGUAUACAGACUAAACCGUGCAUGGAACAAUAGAAGAGGAUGGCAAUAUUCCCCAGUAAACGCAGUGAAAGAAAAAAGACCUAUCCAUACAGAGUCGCUGAAGAAACUGAUCUUCAUGUGUCACUUGACCAACAAUUUUUCGGUAUGGGUAGAAAGGCUGUUAUGGAGAAGCACUAUCCUCGACAAAUCUCUAGCCACCUUGAACAGUUAUCUCCUUGACCAAGAAGGGAAUUGUACAGCGAGCAAGAAUCUAGGUUUAAUAAGAGACAUUUCUAGAGGUUUACUAUGUGCUCCAAUAUUCAUGAAACUUAAUGACAAUGGUCUCAUUGUUGUCUUGUUUGAAACUAGGUCACAUGUGGACUGAAUGGAAGUCACUUGAUUUUAUUUUUAAAACAUUAUAGAAUCAAACCUUGAUAUUGCUUUGUAAGAUUACAUGUGUUCAAACUUAGUGAGA
Mya arenaria is the source of this 787-nucleotide long non-coding RNA. RefSeq lists it as uncharacterized. Lineage: Eukaryota; Metazoa; Mollusca; Bivalvia; Myida; Myidae. The transcript is spliced from 4 exons. The record is from RefSeq and is a predicted model, not a curated record.